UAUUCUCAGGGCGGGGUGCAAUUCCCCACCGGCGGUGAUCCUGUUUCAGGCAGCCCGCGAGCGUUUCUGCAACGGCAGAAAGUCAGCAGAUCCGGUGUGAAUCCGGAGCCGACGGUAUAGUCCGGAUGAAAGAGGAUA
RNAcentral lists this non-coding RNA (138 nucleotides) under zebrafish metagenome. RNAcentral describes it as "FMN riboswitch (RFN element)". It matches the Rfam family "FMN riboswitch aptamer (RFN element)". From Rfam's summary of the family: The RFN element is a highly conserved domain that is found frequently in the 5'-untranslated regions of prokaryotic mRNAs that encode for flavin mononucleotide (FMN) biosynthesis and transport proteins. This element is a metabolite-dependent riboswitch that directly binds FMN in the absence of proteins. In Bacillus subtilis, the riboswitch most likely controls gene expression by causing premature transcription termination within the 5' untranslated region of the ribDEAHT operon and precluding access to the ribosome-binding site of ypaA mRNA. The record is from RNAcentral.